Aedes aegypti (yellow fever mosquito) is the source of this 408-nucleotide long non-coding RNA. RefSeq lists it as uncharacterized. Lineage: Eukaryota; Metazoa; Arthropoda; Insecta; Diptera; Culicidae. The record is from RefSeq and is a predicted model, not a curated record. The transcript has 4 exons.
CCAUCUCAAGUCGGCGCGGAAGAAUGUCGACGCGUUGCCAACGAUGACACGUCGGUGACAGCCGCCCAAUGAUGACAUCAGCAAAAAUAUCCACGAAAAAGUGAUGAUCUCAUGAAGAAGCUAAAACUUAUUUAAUAUUCUAUAAAAUUCUAUUGUAUAUUAUUAACUACCUUAUUUCUGAACAAGUGAAUUUUUUACCGUGAAUUUGAUCUAAAACAGUUGAAGUUAAAACAAUUCUUAUAAACUAAGCUGACUAAAAGCACAAGUUCUUAACUAGGUAGUACGAACGGAGAACCUCUCCAACCUCAAAACUAACGCUGGAACGAUUUUUGGACAGGUAGAAUAGUUGGGAAACUAAUUUUCGAGCUGCGGAAAAAACCGAACUACGAAAAGUUUUACAACACCUAC